RNAcentral lists this ribosomal RNA (254 nucleotides) under uncultured bacterium. RNAcentral's name for it is "partial 16S ribosomal RNA". It matches the Rfam family "Bacterial small subunit ribosomal RNA", at positions 524 to 776 of the family's 1533-position model. The record is from RNAcentral.
UACGGGGGGAGCAAGCGUUGUUCGGAUUUACUGGGCGUAAAGGGCGCGUAGGCGGUCGCGACAAGUCACUUGUGAAAUCUCCGGGCUUAACUCGGAACGGUCAAGUGAUACUGUCGGACUAGAGUACAGAAGGGGCAACUGGAAUUCUCGGUGUAGCGGUGAAAUGCGUAGAUAUCGAGAGGAACACCUGCGGCGAAGGCGGGUUGCUGGGCUGAUACUGACGCUGAGGCGCGAAAGCCAGGGGAGCGAACGGG